This 430-nucleotide ribosomal RNA is filed under the name uncultured bacterium. Its description in RNAcentral is "bacterial SSU rRNA". It matches the Rfam family "Bacterial small subunit ribosomal RNA", at positions 355 to 776 of the family's 1533-position model. The record is from RNAcentral.
UGGGGAAUCUUGCGCAAUGGCCGAAAGGCUGACGCAGCGACGCCGCGUGCGGGAUGAAGCUUUUCGGAGUGUAAACCGCUGUCAGGUGGGACGAAGGUCCCGAUCAGGAAAUGGGUUGGGGAUGACGGUACCACCAAAGGAAGCACCGGCUAACUUCGUGCCAGCAGCCGCGGUAAUACGAAGGGUGCGAGCGUUGUUCGGAAUUAUUGGGCGUAAAGCGCACGUAGGCGGCCUUGUAAGUCUCACUGUGAAAGUCCGGGGCUCAACCCCGGGAUGCCAGGGGAUACUGCGAGGCUCGAGACAAGUAGAGGUUGGUAGAAUUCCGGGUGUAGCGGUGGAAUGCGUAGAGAUCCGGAGGAAUACCAGAGGCGAAGGCGGCCAACUGGGCUUGUUCUGACGCUGAGGUGCGAAAGCGUGGGGAGCGAACAGG